RNAcentral lists this ribosomal RNA (538 nucleotides) under Aspergillus fumigatus. Its description in RNAcentral is "eukaryotic LSU rRNA". The stretch from base 182 to 335 matches the Rfam family "5.8S ribosomal RNA". Lineage: Eukaryota; Fungi; Ascomycota; Eurotiomycetes; Eurotiales; Aspergillaceae. The record is from RNAcentral.
ACGACUGGAGGCUCUGGGUCACCUCCCACCCGUGUCUAUCGUACCUUGUUGCUUCGGCGGGCCCGCCGUUUCGACGGCCGCCGGGGAGGCCUUGCGCCCCCGGGCCCGCGCCCGCCGAAGACCCCAACAUGAACGCUGUUCUGAAAGUAUGCAGUCUGAGUUGAUUAUCGUAAUCAGUUAAAACUUUCAACAACGGAUCUCUUGGUUCCGGCAUCGAUGAAGAACGCAGCGAAAUGCGAUAAGUAAUGUGAAUUGCAGAAUUCAGUGAAUCAUCGAGUCUUUGAACGCACAUUGCGCCCCCUGGUAUUCCGGGGGGCAUGCCUGUCCGAGCGUCAUUGCUGCCCUCAAGCACGGCUUGUGUGUUGGGCCCCCGUCCCCCUCUCCCGGGGGACGGGCCCGAAAGGCAGCGGCGGCACCGCGUCCGGUCCUCGAGCGUAUGGGGCUUUGUCACCUGCUCUGUAGGCCCGGCCGGCGCCAGCCGACACCCAACUUUAUUUUUCUAAGGUUGACCUCGGAUCAGGUAGGGAUACCCGCUGAA